This 492-nucleotide ribosomal RNA is filed under the name uncultured bacterium. RNAcentral describes it as "bacterial SSU rRNA". It matches the Rfam family "Bacterial small subunit ribosomal RNA", at positions 28 to 520 of the family's 1533-position model. The record is from RNAcentral.
GACGAACGCUGGCGGCGUGCUUAACACAUGCAAGUCGAACGAAGCUUGAUUACGGAUUCUUCGGAUGAAGUAUGAUAUGACUGAGUGGCGGACGGGUGAGUAACGCGUGAGUAACCUGCCCUUCAGAGGGGGAUAGCGUUUGGAAACGAACGGUAUUACCGCAUAAUGUAUUUUGACCGCAUGAUCGAAAUACCAAAGAUUUAUCGCUGAAGGAUGGACUCGCGUCUGAUUAGGUAGUUGGUGGGGUAACGGCCUACCAAGCCGACGAUCAGUAGCCGGACUGAGAGGUUGAUCGGCCACAUUGGGACUGAGACACGGCCCAGACUCCUACGGGAGGCAGCAGUGGGGAAUAUUGCACAAUGGGCGCAAGCCUGAUGCAGCAACGCCGCGUGAAGGAAGACGGUUUUCGGAUUGUAAACUUCUGUUCUUAGUGAAGAAUAAUGACGGUAGCUAAGGAGCAAGCCACGGCUAACUACGUGCCAGCAGCCGUAC